This 253-nucleotide ribosomal RNA is filed under the name uncultured prokaryote. RNAcentral describes it as "partial 16S ribosomal RNA". It matches the Rfam family "Bacterial small subunit ribosomal RNA", at positions 525 to 777 of the family's 1533-position model. The record is from RNAcentral.
ACAGAGGGGGCAAGCGUUGUUCGGAAUUACUGGGCGUAAAGGGCGCGUAGGCGGCCUGUUAAGUCGAACGUGAAAUCCCCGGGCUCAACCCGGGAACUGCGUCCGAUACUGGGAGGCUUGAAUCCGGGAGAGGGAUGUGGAAUUCCAGGUGUAGCGGUGAAAUGCGUAGAUAUCUGGAGGAACACCGGUGGCGAAGGCGGCGUUCUGGACUGCAACUGACACUGAGGAACGAAAGCGUGGGGAGCAAACAGGA